GAGCAGCAAGAUGGCAUGGUAGCCAAAGUGCCAACCAUUCCAGUUUUGAAGUCCAAAAAGGUCUUCUUGGAAUCACAGGUCCGGGCCCGACAGAACCAAAGGAGCAACAAAGAGAAACCCGGAUUCCUCAUUUCAUUUCAUCAGUGAUGAAAGUAAAAUAAACAUAGAUGAGCAGCAAGUUGGCAUGGUAGCCAAAGUGCCAACCAUUCCAGUAUUGAAGUCCAAAAAGGUCUUCUUGGAAUCACAGGUCCGGGCCCGACAGAACCAAAGGAGCAACAAAGAGAAACCCGGAUUCCUCAUUUCAUUUCAUCAGUGAUGAAAGUAAAAUAAACAUAGAUGAGCAGCAAGUUGGCAUAGUAGCCAAAGUGCCAACCAUUCCAGUAUUGAAGUCCAAAAAGGUCUUCUUGGAAUCACAGGUCCGGGCCCGACAGAACCAAAGGAGCAACAAAGAGAAACCCGGAUUCCUCAUUUCAUUUCAUCAGUGAUGAAAGUAUUAUAAAAAUAGAUGAGCAGCAAGUUGGCAUAGUAGCCAAAGUGCCAACCAUUCCAGUAUUGAAGUCAAGAAGGGUCUUCUUGGAAUCACAGGUCCCGGCCCAACAGAAAGAAAGUAAUAAGAAAGAGAAACCUGGAUUCUUUAUUUCAUUUCAUCAGAGAUGAAAGAGCAUAAAGAAGACCUUCAUUCUGAGGAACUGAAGGAAUUUCAAAGGAAGCAGCAACAGCUAAUAGAGGGGUGUUUUCUGCAGGAUGUAAAGUAAUGCUGAUACCCCCUGAACAGUCAGUGCCCUGGACAAAGCCUUCACUUUGUUAUGGCUCUACAUAAGCGACAUUUAAAGCACACAGAAGAAAGAAUUUCUUGACAAUGAGGUUCAUCAAAAAUUGCAAUUGCCCACCUUCCAAGACUUCUCAAUAUCCAAGUAUAACUCCUCUGUGGUGCUGCAAGUAUGCCCUAAACAAGGAAAUAAUCUCUAAAUCAAGGAUGGAACCAAAGUGCUUAAUGAAGAGCAAAAGCCCAAAAUUCACAAAAUAACAAGAAAGUUUUUGGCUCUUCCCUUGCUUCCCCUUCCCUUGCCUUCCCUUCUUUUUCCUCACUUCUCUUCUCUUCCCUUCUUUUUCCUCCCUUCCCUUCCCUUUUUCCUUCCUUCCCUUCCCUUCUGUCCC
Monodelphis domestica (gray short-tailed opossum) is the source of this 1158-nucleotide long non-coding RNA. RefSeq lists it as uncharacterized. Lineage: Eukaryota; Metazoa; Chordata; Mammalia; Didelphimorphia; Didelphidae. The record is from RefSeq and is a predicted model, not a curated record.